This 339-nucleotide ribosomal RNA is filed under the name Triticum aestivum (bread wheat). RNAcentral describes it as "partial small subunit ribosomal RNA". Lineage: Eukaryota; Viridiplantae; Streptophyta; Magnoliopsida; Poales; Poaceae. The record is from RNAcentral.
AUGAGGUUGUCCGUGAUCUGGAUGCGGGAGGAGUCGUUGAGGUGGAUGCCGUCGGUGUUGGGGCUGUCCGCCGGCGCCACCACCCGGAGGAAGUUGGCCUUCACGUCCACGCACCGCGUGAAGGACAGGUGGAACUGCGGCCCGUUCUGCAGCGUCACGCCCUGCACGCUCACUCCCCUGCACUCCUCGAAGUGCAACGCCUGCAACACAACAGCAUCCCAAAACCAUCAGAUUAAUCUCGCCGCCGGUUCAAGACCGAGAUUCAGGUCGUCGACUCACCCUCGGAGGAGGCCGCGUGUUGCAGGGCUGCGGGAAACCAAGAUACAUGUGUCACUCUAA